RNAcentral lists this ribosomal RNA (378 nucleotides) under uncultured bacterium. Its description in RNAcentral is "bacterial SSU rRNA". It matches the Rfam family "Bacterial small subunit ribosomal RNA", at positions 28 to 407 of the family's 1533-position model. The record is from RNAcentral.
GACGAACGCUGGCGGCGUGCUUAACACAUGCAAGUCGAGCGGUAAGGCCCUUUCGGGGGUACACGAGCGGCGAACGGGUGAGUAACACGUGGGUGACCUGCCCUUAGCUCUGGGAUAAGCCUGGGAAACUGGGUCUAAUACCGGAUAUGACUCCAUGACGCAUGUUGUGGGGUGGAAAGCCUUGUGCGGCUAGGGAUGGGCCUGCGGCCUAUCAGCUUGUUGGUGGGGUGAUGGCCUACCAAGGCGACGACGGGUAGCCGGCCUGAGAGGGCGACCGGCCACACUGGGACUGAGACACGGCCCAGACUCCUACGGGAGGCAGCAGUGGGGAACCUUGCGCAAUGGGCGAAGGCCUGACGCAGCGACGCCGCGUGGGGA